GACGAACGCUGGCGGCGUGCUUAACACAUGCCAGUCGAACGGAAAGGCCCUGCUUUUGUGGGGUGCUCGAGUGGCGAACGGGUGAGUAACACGUGAGUAACCUGCCCUUGACUUUGGGAUAACUUCAGGAAACUGGGGCUAAUACCGGAUAGGAGCUCCUGCUGCAUGGUGGGGGUUGGAAAGUUUCGGCGGUUGGGGAUGGACUCGCGGCUUAUCAGCUUGUUGGUGGGGUAGUGGCUUACCAAGGCUGUGACGGGUAGCCGGCCUGAGAGGGUGAACGGCCACAUUGGGACUGAGAUACGGACCAGACUCCUACGGGAGGCAGCAGUGGGGAAUAUUGCACAAUGGGCGGAAGCCUGAUGCGGCAACGCCGCGUGCGGGAUGACGGCCUUCGGGUUGUAAACCGCUUUCGCCUGUGACGAAGCGUGAGUGACGGUAAUGGGUAAAGAAGCACCGGCUAACUACGUG
Molecule: ribosomal RNA, 468 nt
Filed under: uncultured bacterium
Lineage: Bacteria
Description: partial 16S ribosomal RNA
Rfam family: Bacterial small subunit ribosomal RNA
Source: RNAcentral